Molecule: ribosomal RNA, 440 nt
Filed under: uncultured bacterium
Lineage: Bacteria
Description: partial 16S ribosomal RNA
Rfam family: Bacterial small subunit ribosomal RNA
Source: RNAcentral
CCUACGGGGCGCAGCAGUGGGGAAUAUUGCACAAUGGGGGAAACCCUGAUGCAGCGACGCCGCGUGAGUGAAGAAGUAUUUCGGUACGUAAAGCUCUAUCAGCAGGGAAGAAAAUGACGGUACCUGACUAAGAAGCCCCGGCUAACUACGUGACAGCAGCCGCGGUAAUACGUAGGGGGCAAGCGUUAUCCGGAUUUACUGGGUGUAAAGGGAGCGUAGACGGCAGCGCAAGUCUGGAGUGAAAUCCCAUGGCUUAACCAUGGAACUGCUUUGGAAACUGUGCAGCUAGAGUGCAGGAGAGGUAAGCGGAAUUCCUAGUGUAGCGGUGAAAUGCGUAGAUAUUAGGAGGAACACCAGUGGCGAAGGCGGCUUACUGGACUGUAACUGACGUUGAGGCUCGAAAGCGUGGGGAGCAAACAGGAUUAGAUACCCCAGUAGUC